This 31-nucleotide non-coding RNA is filed under the name Rattus norvegicus (Norway rat). Lineage: Eukaryota; Metazoa; Chordata; Mammalia; Rodentia; Muridae. The record is from RNAcentral.
UAACUACCAUGAAAUGUAAAACUCAGGUCCA